GACGAACGCUGGCGGCGUGCUUAACACAUGCAAGUCGAACGGAAAGGCUCCAGCUUGCUGGAGUACUCGAGUGGCGAACGGGUGAGUAACACGUGGGUAAUCUGCCCUGCACUCUGGGAUAAGCCUGGGAAACUGGGUCUAAUACUGGAUAUGACCUUUCUCCUUAUGGGGUUUGGUGGAAAGUUUUUCGGUGUAGGAUGAGCCCGCGGCCUAUCAGCUUGUUGGUGGGGUGAUGGCCUACCAAGGCGACGACGGGUAGCCGGCCUGAGAGGGUGAUCGGCCACAUUGGGACUGAGAUACGGCCCAGACUCCUACGGGAGGCAGCAGUGGGGAAUAUUGCACAAUGGGCGGAAGCCUGAUGCAGCGACGCCGCGUGAGGGAUGACGGCCUUCGGGUUGUAAACCUCUUUCAGCAGGGACGAAGCGUAAGUGACGGUACCUGCAGAAGAAGCACCGGCCAACUAUGUG
This 467-nucleotide ribosomal RNA is filed under the name uncultured bacterium. RNAcentral's name for it is "partial 16S ribosomal RNA". It matches the Rfam family "Bacterial small subunit ribosomal RNA", at positions 28 to 507 of the family's 1533-position model. The record is from RNAcentral.